UAGGGAAUCUUCGGCAAUGGACGAAAGUCUGACCGAGCAACGCCGCGUGAGUGAAGAAGGUUUUCGGAUCGUAAAACUCUGUUGGUAGAGAAGAACGUUGGUGAGAGAGGAAAGCUCAUCAAGUGACGGUAACUACCCAGAAAGGGACGGCUAACUACGUGCCA
RNAcentral lists this ribosomal RNA (164 nucleotides) under uncultured bacterium. RNAcentral's name for it is "partial 16S rRNA". It matches the Rfam family "Bacterial small subunit ribosomal RNA", at positions 355 to 510 of the family's 1533-position model. The record is from RNAcentral.